Molecule: long non-coding RNA, 3068 nt
Organism: Pecten maximus
Lineage: Eukaryota; Metazoa; Mollusca; Bivalvia; Pectinida; Pectinidae
Exons: 2
Source: RefSeq, a predicted model, not a curated record
AACAAUACAAUGACGUCACAUCAACAAUACAAUGCGUCACAUCAACAAUACAAUCACGUCACAUCAACAAUACAAUCACGUCACAUCAACAAUUUAAUCACAUCACACCAUCAAAUUCUUGCAUUGGCAAAGCCUCAUGUCUGGCAACUUAAGAUCUUCCCCCACCGGGUUGAGAUUCCCCUGUCCCGCCCCAAAGGGGGGAGAGAUUCUGUUAAUCGCUAGGAAAUAUAACACUUAUUGCUAUUACUAUUAGUGGAAUAUAUGUCCAAGGGGAGGACUCCAUAAAAAAGAAAUUCCAUGCAUUGUGAGUGUGGGAGAAAGUGGGUCGUAGGAUGUGGAAAUGAUUUAAAUUAAAUCUCUUCUGCUGGUGGUUUGUUUGAGAAAACCUUAGUCCUCCUGUUAGAUAGAUAUUAUAGAUCUUCUCAGUAGUAUCACUGGCAUGAGAUAGAAUUUUAAAUUGUGGUGUGAAAUAGAAAUACAAUUUCAUUUGUCAAACACCAAAUUGUCAAUGUUAAGGGUUUAAUGUUCUUUGUACUCUGUACAAAACUGUGAAUGAUGAUUUUUUACUAGAUUAUUAAUUUACCCGGAUAACACAACACUAAAAAUGUAUGAAGCAAAUGUGUGAUAAAGGAUAGGUUUUCAUCAAGAUGUUCUCUCAUGUUUGAUCGUAACAUGUUGAUUGUAACAUGUUAGAGAUUGUAUAGGAAAAGGCAGAAGAUGUUGUUCCCAGAAAUUUUGCAAUCAGAGAUAAAAAAAUGAUAGAUGAUGAUAACUCUGAGAAAUUACCACAAAAAUGAAAACCUAUCCUAUGUUUUUGCAAGGAAUCUCAGGUGAAACUUGGUAGACUGCAUAAUUACAAUAUGUAGCUGUGUAUUUCUGAGUGGGAUUUUGAUUCAGCAAUAUUGAAAGAGUGAGAGAAAUUAAUAUUUUUGUUUAAAAUAUAUGUCUUUAAGAUUUAAAAACUGAAAAAUAUAAGCAUUUGUGUCUAUAAAUUGUUUUCAUGAUUGUGCAAUUAGACAUGUAUGUAGUCAAUCUUGUCAGCAUGUCACUUUGUUUGCUAAAAUGUAUUGCAGAAAGUCUUACAGAUCACAAGUCCCCCCAAGUAACUGUCUUUAGGCACCGUUUUUCUCUACUAUCUUAUAUUUGAUCAUGUCUGUGUAUUUAUUCAUGUGUCUGUCCGCCAUCGGUUCAUCCAUGCCGAUGCAAAGCUUUGUAUGAUUAAGAUAUAUCAUGAACCGGUUGACUGAUUUAGUUCAUAUUCGCACCAUAACAUCACACCACCAAGUUCUACACCUGUCCAGAUUUUGGUGAUCAUUGGUCAAGAUUAAAGGUCAAAGAUUACAUUUGACCACUUUCAAAAUAAAAAAAAAAACAUGUACAAGAUAUCUGGAGAAUCCCUGGAGGUUUACUUCAUGAUUAGAGGGGUAAGGGGGGUCAAGUUACUUGGAUGUUUCUGAUAAUAUGUCUGAAAGUCAAAAUCUGAUAUCAGACAGCAUCACAGGGAUUUGUCACAAAAUGCCAACCCAUGUUUGUAUUGUAUGUUAGCAUUAUAUAAUAUAUACAUAAGGUGGAAAUUUGCAUCAAGUCCCUGUGUUCAGUACAUGGCUAGCUUCUUUUGGCUAUGGAGUAUAAUCCCAACCAAACGCUUGUUUCUAAAUUUUAUACUGUAUACUACUUUGAUUGUUAUACCAUAUACCGGUAGUAAUUGAUAAAAGUUUGGGGGUCAUGUUCUUUUGUUUCUUUGAAUUUAGUCUUUUAUUUGCUUCAAUGAUAGAUUUUAUUAAAACCGUUAUUUGUAACUGCUUGUUAUUAUUUUGAGAACAAUACUUAUAGUUUUAUCCUUUAUUACCUAUUCUUUUUCUUAAUUCUUUAUAAUUGUAAUAUUUUAUAUUUGUUUACAAGGGAAAGUCCUGUUCCGUCCACAUGAAAUACAUAAUGUUAUAAUGAAAUUAUGAAUUGAAAAAUACAUUGUAUAACUGUGAAUUAUGACAUUUUUUUUUUUAUUAUUAAUCUACAAAGUGCUAAAAUUUCUUCCUAUUACAAUCUGCUGUCUGUAUUCAAGAUCCAUUUUUUCAGUCGAAGGUUCGUAAUUUUUAUUCGGUAAAAACAUCAAAAUAGUAUAACCUCAUGGAAAGGAAUAAAAUAAUAAUUAUUACUGUAUGAAAUAUUCUUGGUUUAUAUAAUGCGGCUGGAGGUUUUAGCUUGAAUUAUUAACACAUACAGCAUACUUUGUUUUACCAUGGUCUAUAUUGUUUAAGUCUUUAAUUUGACCGAAUUUAAAAUGUUGGUAAAGUGUCAGACUAUGGGUAAAUAUAUACCAUAUUGGUUGUGUUAUAUAUCGUCUAUCAUAUUUUCAUUACCAACCCGAAGAAAAUGUUCCCGAAUAAGACUGGGCAGCAAGUCAUGAGGUUCCUUCAGUCUCUCCUAUGUAGAAAUCAUCUCUAAUAUUUUAUAAAAAAUAUUAUCCUUUGUGGUUGUUUCUGAUAAACGAAUCAUGUACAUUGUACUUUUGACUGGGCUUGAAAUGUUCCAUAAUGACAGAAUGAAAAAUGAAUCCCACAGUCCAUCAUAGGAACAUGUCAAGGCCCUGUGUCUUGAGGUACAAGCCAGAAAGAUUUUUAUUGAAGAGCUAGCUGACUGCCAUUUAAUAUGGGACAAAUUUUGUUAAAGUGUAGCAUCACCAAAGUUUUAGGAAUAUUUAUCAUUGUUUAAGCAUAAAUAGGAUCUGAUUAUGUAUGUUCACAUGUUUUAAAAUGACAAUUGUUUUAUGGCAGAAAAAAAUAAUGUGUUCUGUUAUAUCAUCCAUUGUAGAACUGCCUCUGACAAAGAAUCUCACCAAAAAGGAUAACAUUAUUCAUGUAUGUAUGAAUUGUAAAAAAUGAAAUAAAAAUAUUUUAUUGCAAUUUGAGUUUCGUUGUAAUACCAGACAUGAACAAUAAUUUGAUAAAAGAGAUGAUUAAAUGUUUGACCCUUUAACCUUUCCCAAUAAGCUAAUUCGUAGAAAUUAUAUUUUUCGUUAACCAUAUGGGUCAUAACUCUGCCAAAUAACGUCCGCAGAAAGUGGUGAU